GGAGAGGCUGGCUUGGGAAUAGAUGACGUGUCAAAGAUUGACAUCAACCUUGAGUGCUUAUUUGUGGACUUGAGAUACAGAUAAAAAAAAAAAAAAAAAAACCUCCCUAGAGUGAGGGCUACUUGGGAUACAUGCUAUAUCCCAAGGAGUUCUCAGUUUGAGGUCAGCCCCAGCUCUACAACUCACCAGGAGAGUGCGCGAGGAUGAGGGAGAGACAGCCUGCUCUGGUUCUCUUCAAGGUGACAAUGACACCUGUUGACAGAUGAGAAUUCCAGCCAGGAAUACAGAUUUAGGAAUCAUGUUUCUCACUCUCAUGAUGACAUAGAAGAGAUGCGUCUGAAUCUUUCUGCCAGUGUGUUAAAGUUAUUCUGAUAUUGACUGUAGUUCUGAGCUUUGUCUCUAUCCCACCAAACCACUAACUUCUGGAAAUUACUUGUAGACCAAGAUGGGAGGACUCCGUGUGUGGCUCCAUAUGAAUGACUUAUCGUGCCUGUCCAGAGUCAGGGAAAGGAGAAACAAUCUUAUUUGAGAAGGGAGGAUAUCACUGCAGUGGUUGUGAAAUCGUGUUUGGAAGCUAGAUUGCUCUAGACCACUAAGCUCUCUUCAUGUGACAAAGAAACUUCCUAAAAUACUAAAAGCUAAAGGAGAUUGUUAUCUAAGCUUGAGAUGGAAGGUUGCCAGCGGAAACUUGGAGGAUCACAGCCAGUCGCCUGGGAUUGACCACAGGGAGUGGCAGAGGCAGAAAGCAAAAGACCAGUUGCAAUUAUCCAGGUAAAAGAUGGAGGCUGUUGCAAUAAUCCAGAAUCCUGAAUUGAGCCUGUGUUCCCAGUUCCUAGAAACCCUCAAGGUUAUUGGUUUCCUCCUCGCUUAAUAGACCAGUGGAAGAAAUCUACCUCCAGUUCUAUCUUCACAUGAGCAACUGUUUACAGUUUACAAUAUUACUCUGAAAAUCAGUUCUUUUCAAGUUUUAUCUAACACCCACCAGAAGAAACAGAAGAUUAUGAAAAUGGAAUUUGUCAAAGUUCCUCUCCCAACAAUAUGAUAUUUAAUUUUGCUAACAUUUUUUUUUGAACACUUACUAUAUUGCAGACAAUGGUCUAAGUAAAGCAUUUUAUGUGCAUCCUAUCAUGUCAUCAUCACACAGCCCUGUGAGGUAGAUACUAUUAUUAUUAACCACAUUUCACAUUCAAAAAAACUGAGGCUUAGAGAGACUAAGUAAAUUGUCCAAGGUCACACAGCCAUGAAGUGGCAGAGCUGUGGUUAAAACCUAUGUCUGUCUGAUGUUUAAGAUUUUGCUGUUAGCAUUACUUUGAAAUGACAAUAUGAGGGCAUUUUAUGUAUUUUUUUUGCCCCAAUAUGAUCUGCAGAAACUAUGUAUUUUAAGUACUACAUUUCUUUUAUUUACCAAAUUAUUGUCAGAUAAGAAACCGAAAUAAAAGUUUACAGGGUCUAGGAUUCCUCCAUAAUGAAUGAACUUUGGGGUAUUUCAGUGACAAAUUGGCUUUAACGCGAUCAAAUUCCAUCCUACAAUGAAAGUGUGUUAGUUUGUGGUUUCAAGUUUAAAAACAGCACUGUAUUGUCUUCCAGAAAUAUAUAAAUAGAAAUUCAAGAAGUAUUUCAAUGAAUACAGAUAAAAUUAGUUUUGUUAGAACAUCAAAUAUGUGGGUUUCAUUUCUUAGCUCAGUUUAGAAACUGUAAUUUCAAUUUUUUUUAGCAGCUGUGGUAAAUUUUGAGAUUUGAAAUUUCAUAUAAUAUAAAUCCUCAUUUAUUGAGCAUUUAAAUUAUAUGCCCAACAAUUUACUGUGUACAUUACUUCACUUGUUCUUAACUAUAACUCUACAAAAUAUUAUUGUCCUUGAUUUAUAGAUGAAGAUAUUGAGACUCAGUUAAGUAACUUGCUUGAAAUUCAAAAACGUUAACUGUGGAAGGCAGUAUUUGAACCCAGUGUUCAAAACCCCAUGCUCUUUUUAUUAUAUGACCUUAUUUCCUAUUCAGUCUUCAGAAGAUAUAUUGUCUUAUUAGAUUAUUCUCGUUCUCUAAAUAAGUGACCUUGGGCAACUAUCUUUUUCCCUGGUAUUUUCCCCUGCCUUUAAAACAAUGUGAUCAAACUGGAAGUUUUUCACGAUCUCUCUUAGCCCUAAAGCUCCUUGGUUCUGUAAUUCCACCAAUAGCCCAUUUCAAAAAUAAUUCUACAGUAAUCAGUGGGACUCCUGUUUUUCCCAUCUUUUUUUUUUUUGAAACAGAAAAUUGAAACUUUUAAAUUAGUUUAGUAAAUACAUCUACUAGUUUUUUUCUUUUAUAGUCAUGGUUAUAUUAUUUGGUCCUUCUUAGUUGCAACAUGUUUCCUUGCUGUCAAUUUAUAAUACCUCUCAUCAACAAUAGCCUGAAGAAAUAGAUUUGAAUUGCUUUCCCUAAUUUAUAGCUGGAAAACUAGGCUACGCUGGUAUCUUAAAUUGACUUUCCUGAGGUCACGGGCACUCAGUGCCAAGAGGAGUUGGUACCUACGCAUUUGAAAUUUCUGGAUUUCUGGUCUUACUCUGUACUUAGUCACUCUUUUCUUUCAUUUGGCCCUAUGGUGGGCAAACUACAGCCUACAGGCCAAUUCCAGCCUACCAUCUGUUUUUGUAUGGUCCAUGAACUAAGAAUGGUUAUCACAUUUUAAAAUGGUGGGAAAAAAAGACUAUUUUGUGACAUAAAAAUUAUAUGAAAUCCAAAUUUCAGUGUCUAUAAAUUUUGUUGGAAUAUAGUUACC
Molecule: long non-coding RNA, 2752 nt
Filed under: Homo sapiens (human)
Lineage: Eukaryota; Metazoa; Chordata; Mammalia; Primates; Hominidae
Description: SPRY4 antisense RNA 1
Source: RNAcentral